UGAAGAAGAGUCAAAAGUAAAAGAUUUGAGUUUAAGAGGGGAGUCACUACAACAAAAAUGGUCUAUAGCGACACUUUUAAAUGUAGGUACAUGUCAAAAAAGUGCUGCUAGCUAAAAUUACCGACACUUUUAAAAAGUGUUGCUAUAUGUGGGGUCGCUAGGUAUAUAGUGACAGUUAAAGAGUGUCACUAUAACCUAAAAAAGUGUUGCUAAUUUACCAAAACUUAUUUAAGCAUUUAACAACCGCCGAAACUCUAUCUCGUUGGCUGCGGUGGCGGAGGAGGACGACAGGAAAGGCUCUUCGUCUAGAAUUUCAGUGAAUUCAGUGAAGAGAGAAGAAAAGAUGGUAAUUGAUUUUUCUUUUUCUUUUUUUUCUUUUCAGUUUGUAAUCGGGCCAAAUGGACUGGGUGUGGUAGGUUGAAUAGAGUAAUCUUUUAUUUUUAGUUGUAUUGGGCUUUAUAUUUAGGCAUUAGUAGAUAUUUUUUUAAGUUUUAGCAUAAAUGGAACACUUACUCAAAAGUAUCCCAAACAUGUGUCCCUAUAACCUAAUUCUGUUGUAGUGAGUUCUCAUGUAAAAAAGGAAAAAUAUUAUGAGUUCAUAUAUGAAUAGUUCUAUAUCGGAUAAUUAUACUAGUUGGCCUACAUCUUAUAGCUAGGCUUAUGCUUUUAGAUUGAUUGAGUUACCGAUUAGAUUUGGUUCGAGAACCGCUUUAUUCUUUUCUUUAUCUUUGUUUUUUUUUUUGAGAAAAACGAAAAUCCACAUUGUUGAUCAGUUUAGUUUUAUUUUGAUUUUUUCAUAUUCGAUUUGGAUCAGUCGAGUCUACUUUUAAUUUUUCUUGUUAGCUGAACCAAACUGAAACCAAACCAAAGAUGAGGCAGAGAUGGGCUGUUUGUGAGCACGAUGGAGGUGGAUUAUCUCGUUUAGAAAGGAAUGGGAUUUACGGAAGUUAGGGCAUGUUUGUUUCAUAAUUGAAAUACAAUUAAAUUGCAUUAGAAUGAAAAAUGAAAUGAUGAAUUAUUAAAAAAAAUUGAUUUAUUAUUGGAUAAAAAUCAUAAUGGACAUUUAUGAAUUUGAGAGAGGGCUUUGGUUAAGAGACAAAACAGUGAUCAAGGGAGAGGAGAGAGAAGAUUUUGUAUGGUUUAUUUUGAAAUCUUCGAAACCAAAAUUCAGAACCGGAUUGGAUCAUAAAUAAAUUAGGCCAUUCUAUUACAGAAUGGACUGAGAAUCGAAAUCUAAUUCUUAUAAAAUAAACAAUAACUAUCAAAAUUUAUAAAUCUCAUUCUGAUUUUAUAACCUAAAAUAAGUGAAUUAAACAAACCCUUACUAUACUUGUAAAACCUUCAAAUCUAAUAUCUUAUUACUAAACUACUUGUGACUUUAUUUUUUGUAAAUAUUAAUCGUACAUCUCUUAUAGGGGUGUAAAUUUUAUACCUCUGAAACCUAAGAUUGAUAAAUUUUUUUAAAAAAAAAUUAGAAAAAAAAGAAGAUAUUAGAUUUGAAGGUUUUANUGCGUCGAACUCGAAAUCCGUUUCCACCCCUAGUUGGUUGUAACUCUUAUAUGUCCUUCUAAUAUAUAAAUCACAUAUAAGUUUAAUAUUUUAUUAAUUUUUAUUUUAUUUUAUUUUUUGUGAGCUAGUUGCCAGCGUAUACUAUUCUAAUAAGAAAAAUAUUUUGCCUGCAUAUAAAAUUGUUACAACUUUUUUUUCUUUUACACAUGCAUGGCAUGAUAAUUAGGGUGCGUUUGAUUCGCGGUAUCUUUUAAAGAUUUCUAUUAAUCCAAUGGGAAUAAAAAAAAUAUAACGGUGUUUGGCUAAAUGCACUAAGUAAUCUAGUUGGUAAUAUUGGAUUCACUUGGGAAUAAGAUUCACCCCAAAGUACUAAUCUCAUUCUCUUGAGAGAGGGUAGGUAUUCUCAUAUUAAUGGAUUAGGGUAAUCACAAUAUGUCUAAUCUCUUUGUUUCUUCCUACCCACAGGCUAAUUGAUAUUAUUUUUUUUUACACUCUAACCUUAUAUCUCUCUCUAACUUAUUUUUCUCCCUAAAAUUUAACUUUUUUUUCUCUCUCUAAACUAAGCUUUCUCUCUCUCUCUCUUUCUAAAAUUUCAACUCUCUCACUCCCUCUAAUUUCGACUAUAUUGUUCUUUCUAUUUUUUUAAUUAUGCUCUCUCUCUCUCUCUAACUUAUACUCUCUCUCCCUUUUUUCUAAAAAGAUAUUAAAACUUUUGGUAACAUUAUCUAAAAUUAAUUAAAUAAAUAAAUUAAUUAAUUGUAUAUUUUUUGUAAUAUUAAAUAAUAUGGCUAAUUAAUAUUACAGUGCGAACCAAACACAGGAAUUUCACAUUCUUAGUAAUAGGAUAAAUAGGAAUAAGAUUCUCGGAUAUUUUUUAUUCCUAGUAAUCUUUCAUAAUGCGAACCAAACGCACCCUUAAUGUUAUAUUAGUUCUUUCUGUUUACUGUAAUUACGAUUCUAUUCAUAAAAUAAUUAUGAAAGUCCGAAUACCCUAUAAUUAAAUAUUUUCUGUAUAUUAAAAAUAUAAAAUAAUAAUUAAAUAUUUAUGAUAUUAUGCUAACGUUAUUGAUAAUCAAUGAUUCUUAACCUAAUAAUAUAUCUAUAUGGUUGUUGAUUCCGGAUUUUAAAAGAUUUUUUUUUAUGAAAAUAUAAAGUAAUUCGGUUUUGAAUUUGAAAUUUUAAAUACCAAUCAUUAAGCCCUUAGCGAACUGUACUUAGGGGCCGUUUGAUUGGAUGUAGUUACAAAAACAGUGUAGUUGAAAGUGCAUGUAGUUGUAAAUGCUGCAGUCAUAACUAUAUCUAGUCUGUUUGGUUAUAUCCAGUUACAACUGCUGCAAUUAUAUUUUUUCUGUUAGGUAAUUUGCAGUUGAGAUUUGUAUUUAUAAAUUCUGUCAAUUUUUAGAUAGAAAUGUGAGAUUACCUCUUCGGAGCAUAACGUAAUCAUGUUUUAAUUAUUAAUUAAGACUUUUAUAUUUAUAUAUAAAUUAUAUAUUAUAAAAUUAUGUAUGAAUUUAAUAAAUUUUAAAUAUAAAUAUAUUAUACAUUUGGUCAAAAUAAAAUUAAGAUAUUAUUAAACUAGCAGACUAAAAUAAGAAGCGUAUGAUAAAAGAAAAUACUGACUCUAACAAACAUUACUAAAUCCUAUCAGAUUUUAUGAAUAUGUAUUUUUGAAAAAAAAUAAAAACAGAAGCGUAUGAAAAAAAAAAUCACACUUUGUUUAUAUUUUUAAUAGGUAAGCCGACUCC
This 3254-nucleotide long non-coding RNA is filed under the name Ananas comosus (pineapple). RNAcentral's name for it is "long non-coding RNA (ACOM_LNC014839)". Lineage: Eukaryota; Viridiplantae; Streptophyta; Magnoliopsida; Poales; Bromeliaceae. The record is from RNAcentral.